UACAGAGGUCCCGAGCGUUGUUCGGAUUUACUGGGCGUAAAGGGUGCGUAGGCGGUUGGGUAAGUCUAAUGUGAAAUCCCCGGGCCCAACCCGGGAACGGCAUUGGAAACUACUUGACUAGAGGGUUGGAGGGGGGACUGGAAUUCCCGGUGUAGCAGUGAAAUGCGUAGAUAUCGGGAGGAACGCCGGUGGCGAAGGCGAGUCCCUGGACAACCCCUGACGCUGAGGCACGAAAGCUAGGGGAGCAAACAGG
Molecule: ribosomal RNA, 253 nt
Filed under: uncultured bacterium
Lineage: Bacteria
Description: partial 16S ribosomal RNA
Rfam family: Bacterial small subunit ribosomal RNA
Source: RNAcentral